RNAcentral lists this non-coding RNA (317 nucleotides) under Myotis lucifugus (little brown bat). RNAcentral's name for it is "Vascular endothelial growth factor (VEGF) IRES A". It matches the Rfam family "Vascular endothelial growth factor (VEGF) IRES A". The record is from Rfam by way of RNAcentral. Lineage: Eukaryota; Metazoa; Chordata; Mammalia; Chiroptera; Vespertilionidae.
GUUUUACCGGCCCGGGAGAAGCUUAGGUCCGAAGAGGGAGGGGUGGAGUAAAUAUGAGAAGGAAGUGGCGAGGAGGCCGCGGUGGAGUCUCGGCGCUUGACCAGCAGGGCUCAUGGACGCGGGGAGGCGGUCUGUUUGCGCAGACAUUGCUCUUGCCGCGCGCGGCUCCCCAGGCCCUGACACGGGCCUCGGCUCCGGGAGGAAGAGGAGCCCGCCUGGGCGACGAAGAGAGCGGGCCGCCCCGCAGCCCGAGCCGGAGAGGGAGCGCGAGCCGCGCCGGCCCCGGCCGGGCCUCCGAAACCAUGAACUUUCUGCUC